AUGAACGCUGGCGGCGUGUCUUAGGCAUGCAAGUUGAUCGGUGUAGCAAUAUAACCGAAGCAAACGGGUGCGUAACACAUUGGUAACCUACCUCGAACUUGGGCAUAACCCGGCGAAAGCUGGGCUAAUUCCCAAUAGUCAGGUGUCACCUUCGGGUGGUGCUUGUAAAGCCUUGUGUGGUUCGAGAGGGGCCUAUGGCCCAUCAGUUAGUUGGUAGGGUAAUGGCCUACCAAGACGAUGACGGGUAGCAGGCGUGAGAGCGCGACCUGCCUCAGUGGAACUGAGAUACUGUCCACACUCCUACGGGAGGCUGCAGUCAAGAAUCUUCCCCAAUGCGCGAAAGCGUGAGGGAGCGACGCCGCGUGACUGAAGAAGCCCUUCGGGGCGUAAAAGUCUUUUCCAGAGGAAAAAUAAAUGAUAUUACUCUGGGAAUAAGGGGCUGCUAAUCUCGU
RNAcentral lists this ribosomal RNA (452 nucleotides) under uncultured bacterium. RNAcentral's name for it is "bacterial SSU rRNA". It matches the Rfam family "Bacterial small subunit ribosomal RNA", at positions 29 to 506 of the family's 1533-position model. The record is from RNAcentral.